This 466-nucleotide ribosomal RNA is filed under the name uncultured bacterium. RNAcentral's name for it is "bacterial SSU rRNA". It matches the Rfam family "Bacterial small subunit ribosomal RNA", at positions 32 to 507 of the family's 1533-position model. The record is from RNAcentral.
AGGACAACGCUGGCGGCGUGCUUAAAACAUGCAAGUCGAACGGACUUCUCAUGAAGCUUGCGAUUGAGAAGUUAGUGGCGGACGGGUGAGUAACGCGUGGGCAACCUGCCCCUGAGCCCGGGAUAACAGUUCGAAAGGACUGCUAAGACCGGAUAUACUUGCGGUGAAGCAUUUCACUGCAAGGAAAGGGAACGCUCAGGGAUGGGCCCGCGUCCCAUUAGCUAGUUGGUGAGGUAACGGCCCACCAAGGCGACGAUGGGUAGCCGGCCUGAGAGGGUGAACGGCCACACUGGGACUGAGACACGGCCCAGACUCCUACGGGAGGCAGCAGUUGGGAAUCUUCGGCAAUGGGCGCAAGCCUGACCGAGCAACGCCGCGUGAGUGAUGAAGGUUUUCGGAUUGUAAAGCUCUGUCUUCCGGGACGAUAAUGACGGUACCGGAGGAGGAAGCCACGGCUAACUACGUG